GUCCACGCUGUAAACGAUGAUUACUAGGUGUGGGGGGUCUGACCCCUUCCGUGCCGGAGUUAACACAAUAAGUAAUCCACCUGGGGAGUACGGCCGCAAGGUUGAAACUCAAAGGAAUUGACGGGGGCCCGCACAAGCAGUGGAGUAUGUGGUUUAAUUCGAAGCAACGCGAAGAACCUUACCAGGUCUUGACAUCCAACUAACGAAGUAGAGAUACAUUAGGUGCCCUUCGGGGAAAGUUGAGACAGGUGGUGCAUGGUUGUCGU
Molecule: ribosomal RNA, 266 nt
Filed under: uncultured bacterium
Lineage: Bacteria
Description: partial 16S ribosomal RNA
Rfam family: Bacterial small subunit ribosomal RNA
Source: RNAcentral